CGACCGCCGGGACGCCAACCCACGGUGCCCACCCGUGCGUCAUUCCGCUGUGGAUCAGCCCUUUGGCGGCCCCCCUCCGAAGUCUGCAAGGUCACACGGAUGUCUGCAGGCAGAGAUGGGGCUGCUGGGGCUCUGCCAGCAGCUGCUUCCGGCUCCCUGAGACCCAGCCAUGGAAGGCACAGAAAGGCAUGUGACAAGAAACUCAUGGCUUUUAAUCCUGGCAGGACAAGGAAAACCCCGUCAAAGAUUUGCAUAAAUUUUGCUGCUCUCCUGCUGGGGGGGUAGUUCGUCACGUUUAAGAAAACUCUCUCCCUCUCUCCUCCCUAUUGCAUUAUCUUAUAUUUAUGUAUUUAUUUGAGACAGUCUGGCUCUGUCGCCCAGGCUGGAGUGCAGUGGCGAGAUCUUAGCUCAGUGGCGCGAUGACGGGUCACUGCAACCUCCACCUCCUGGGUUCAAGCAGUUCUGCCUCAGCCUCCCAAGUAGCUGGGAUUACAGGCCAGCCGGGAUUACGCCACCACACCUGGCUAAUUUUUUUGUAUUUUUAGUAGAGACAGGGUUUCACCAUGUUGGUCAGGCUGUUCUCAAACUCCUGACCUCCAGUGAUCCACCUGCCCUAGCCUCCCAAAGUACUGGGAUUACAGGCAUGAGCCAUCAUGCCCGGUUCUUCAAGAAAGGCAAGGAAAAUAACAUUGUCUUUGAGCCAGUUGCAUGUCGAGGAAAUAAGGGUACCCCCCCACCACACCCCAACCCCCUCAGUGCCCUGGGGUUUGAAGCAAAUGCUCAGAGGGCCUGGUACGCAGAUGGGCGUCUUCGGAUGAUGCAGAAGGCAAUAAGCACCAGGGCGAGGAGGCCAAGAAGGAUCAGGCCGAUGAUGAGAGGCAGCAAGAUGGACCGGUCACUGGGGCAGGAGAAACCUGGCGGAAGGAUAGGGCAGGUGGGUAUUUGCAGUGACAUGCUGGUUGGGAUAAAGGUGGGAGGAGGGAAUGGGGAGGAUGCUGGGGAGUAGGAGAUUGGUGAGGAGCUCACCGCAGUGACUCAGCAGUGAUAAAAGGGGGAAACUGGCAGAGUCUUGUAGAAGAUGGAAGGACAGCUGCCCUGUAGCCAUGACAAGCUAGGAGAGCGAGAUUUGGGGAGUUAAGAAGAGAGAUGAGUGGCUUAUGGGCCUGGGGAAGGGGUUUUCAGUGCAGUGGGAGGAUUCUAGGAGGGAAGGAGCAGGUAGGUCUUACUUUGCCCAAAGACCCCGGUGUGGGGCAGCUGAGCAGCCUGGAGCCUCAGGGAGAGCAGGUCGAGGUGGACAGCUGGUGAAAGAAUGAUGCUUGAGUUGCUGCAACUGAAGCUCUGGCCCAGGGGUGCUUGGAGAUCUCGAAGGGAUGCAUUCUGGGCCGAGAAUGUCCACUCUGGAGGAGUGAGGAAGGGUCAGAUCCCAUCCACCUCCCUGGCCCCGGCUUAGUCCUUUCAGGAACCCUGGCGUCUAGUGGUAGCAAUGAGAAAGGGAAGGAGGUUACUUACGUGCUGCGUGGGGGAAGGACACAUUGUACUCCACCGCCAUGUAGCUCAGGUAGACAACCUUCUGCUGGAGGUCCUGUGGGGCGAACAGGAAGGCGCAGGUGGUAUCCCCCUCCACAGAGGAAGGAGUAGCAUGCGGGAUUGGGAGGGGUGGGGCACCGGGAGGCUGAGUGAGGGGUGAGACUGAGGUCAUGGCUAUACCUGCAUGAAUCCAAAGCUGAGGUGUCCAUAGGGGAAUGAGAGAAGCAGGUGGGGAUGGGCACCCUCACAGCUUCCCUGGACCUUGGUUUUGUUGGGGUUCAGUACAGAGUUGCCCCAGGCCUGCGGAAGUUAAAGAUCAGAAGGUCACAAGACUGCGUGCGAUGCCAGCCAAUGUUCCCUGUCCCCUCUUCCUCCUUCCCUCUGAGCCUAUAUAGCCAGUCCUGCCUCCCUCCCCUCUCGUCCCCCAGUUUUAGCUUUACCUCUCCUCCACCCUGGGUUGUGUACAUGACUCGAAUCUGAAUCUGGGCUUGGAGGUGGACACAAGGCUGGGAACCAUUGGUCCACGUGUAGUCUCCAAUGGUCUCCUUGGAGGCUGGGCUAGGACUCGGAGAGGGUGGAGGUGGUCCUGGGUGGGCAGAACUGGUGAAUCCUGGGCUGGUGGCAGUGCUGUUGCUUGUUGGAUGAACCGUGGCAUUUCCAUGACUAGUGGUGGCAGGACUGUGAGUGGAAGUUGAGGGUCCCUGGCUGGUGGCAGUGCUAUUGCUUGUUGGAUGAACCGUGACGUUUCCAUGGCUGGUGGUGGUGGGGUUGUGAGUGGCAGUCAUGGGUCCGUGGCUCGUGGUGCCUGUGGUGGUUGUCCUGUGAGUGGUGGUUUUGUGGCUCUUGGUAGUCCUGUGGCUGGUUGUUCCAGUGCUCUCUCUAGCUGUGGGUGUCACCGUGAAGGAUGGCAGCAAAGUGGCCGAUUUUUUGUGAGGACAGUCAUUCCCUGUCCCCUGGGCUUUUGGCAGAGAGGAGAUGGUUAGCAACCCAGGGGCAGGCUCACUCCCAGGGGCCCCCUCCCCUCAGCCUCCUUCCUCCUUACCUGCCAGUAGCCCCAGCAGGGCCCCUGAGAAGAGCACAGCCAGCCUCAUGGCUGAACCGCCUCACCCAAAGUCCAGCUAGGCUGUCUGCACCAGUUGCUCAACCCUACUCCCUCAGCCCUCUCUUGGAAAGGAGGAAAUGAAAGUCUCACUUCCUGUACUGGAGAUGAUCCCACCCACAGCCUGACUCAGGGGCCUCAGCUCUAGCCACCUCUCUCUUAGUCAUUAGUCUUUGUAAUUAAGUUAGGGGACUAUUGGCCCUGCUUCAUCAGGGCAAAGUCAACAGUGUCACAUGGGUGCAAACAGGGAGUCCUAGGGCAGUUGAUCCAUAGGGAUCCAUGUGUCAAAUUCAGCAAAACUUGCUUGGCAGUUGCGGGUGGCUAUGGGAACAGCUGAGGUACAGGCCCCUCCCUCAGUGGUGGGGAAAUCAGUGUAUCCACUCCCCUUUCCCCUGGAUCUCUGGGCUGACCCCUGUACUACUUCCUCUUGGCUGAGGCACGUGAGGGGCUGGUGACCAUCCACACCCAGCCCUUUACAGAGGGGCAGCACUCCAGUCAGCAUCAUAGUUCUCAGAGCCGAGAACAUGGCUUUCCAGGGUCUGGGAACUCAGAUGGUGACAAGCAAGCAACAGCCCAAAGGUAACUAUCUGCUGGCGAAGGCGGGGGGGGUAGCAGAGAUGCACCCAGUAGCAGGUGGGAGAGGGAAGGGGAGGUAAGAAAUGAGAAGCCCAAACAGGCAGUUUCCAAGUCAUUUUAUUCAGAAUUUUGUGUUUGUUUCCUGAAUCAAUAAAUACUAUACAAAACAAUGUAAAAAUGGCUACCAUUUUCUCUCCCCUGCUUCCCCCCACCUGGGGACAACCCCCUGGGCAACCUCACUCGGGUUUUAGGGGUUCUCCCUCCAGAUUUGGUCCAGCAAAUGAGGCUGAGUGACACAGUCCCUUGAAUCACU
This is a long non-coding RNA of Pongo pygmaeus (Bornean orangutan), 3515 nucleotides long. RefSeq lists it as uncharacterized. NCBI's taxonomy places the organism in Eukaryota, Metazoa, Chordata, Mammalia, Primates, Hominidae. The record is from RefSeq and is a predicted model, not a curated record. The transcript has 2 exons.